CAACGUGGUAUGUGAAACAAAAGAUUUUUCUUGAAGUCUGUUAUUACCUACUGCUGCUGCCUUAGAAGCCUGUGAGGCUUGACUAUAUCUGUUAUUACCUACUGCUGCUGCCUUAGAAGCCUGUGAGGCUUGACUAUAUAAAACAGUAUGGUUUAAGAUGUCUGCUGCGUUUGUAGUUUAAAUUAUGUCUGCAUCAUGUUUCAUUCAUUGCAUGAUCCAUGUUUUAUUUGUGUAUAAGUUUUGGCUUGUGUGUUCUCGUGUCCGAUAUAUAUUUAAUUAUACGUAUAGUGCCAGUGGAUGGUUGUGAAAGGUGGAGUUCUUUAAUUGAUUGAUGGCUGUCAUUGGUGCUUGGUGCCGCUGAUUGUUUUUAUUGAAGUUUUAUAUGUUUGUGGUUCUUUUUUUUGUUCAGUUCUGCUUUAGAUUGCAAAUUUUUGUUAUAAUGACAUAGC
Molecule: long non-coding RNA, 449 nt
Filed under: Malus domestica (apple)
Lineage: Eukaryota; Viridiplantae; Streptophyta; Magnoliopsida; Rosales; Rosaceae
Description: long non-coding RNA (MDOM_LNC014409)
Source: RNAcentral